This 492-nucleotide ribosomal RNA is filed under the name uncultured bacterium. RNAcentral's name for it is "partial 16S ribosomal RNA". It matches the Rfam family "Bacterial small subunit ribosomal RNA", at positions 29 to 507 of the family's 1533-position model. The record is from RNAcentral.
AGUGAACGCUGGCGGCAUGCCUAACACAUGCAAGUCGAGCGAAAGCACAGGAAGAUCUCGCUUCUACCGGUGGCGACGGGCGGAUGAGUGAGGAGUACAUCGCAUUCCUCUAUUACUUGGGUGAUUACGGAGGGACACAUCCGCUAAUAGAGCAUAUGUCGAACGGGAGAAAUCAGGGGAUCUUCGCACUUUGCGUGAUACUAUGAGCCGAUGUCGGAUUAGCUAGUUGGCGGGGUAACGGCACACCAAGGCGACGAUCCGUAGCUGGUCUGAGAGGAUGAUCAGCCACACUGGAACUGAGACACGGUCCAGACUCCUACGGGAGGCAGCAGUGGGGAAUAUUGGACAAUGGGCGCAAGCCUGAUCCAGCCAUACCGCGUGGGUGAAGAAGGCCUUCGGGUUGUAAAGCCCUUUUGUUGGGGAAGAAAAGCAGCAGGUGAAUACACCGAUGUUCUGACGGUACCCAAAGAAUAAGCACCGGCUAACUUCGUG